Molecule: ribosomal RNA, 253 nt
Filed under: uncultured bacterium
Lineage: Bacteria
Description: partial 16S ribosomal RNA
Rfam family: Bacterial small subunit ribosomal RNA
Source: RNAcentral
UACGUAGGGGGCAAGCGUUGUCCGGAGUACUGGCGUAAAGACGCACGCAGGCGGUCUCUUAAGUUUGGUAGUGACAGUUGGUGGCUUAACUGCCAAAAGUGCUUCGAAAACUGAGAGACUUGAGGGCUUCAGAGGGACACGGAAUUCCGGUGGAGUGGUGAAAUGCGUAGAGAUCCGGAGGAACACCAAAGGCGAAGGCAGUGUCCUGGGGAGUACCUGACGCUCAGGUGCGAAAGCCAGGGGAGCGAACGGG